This 450-nucleotide ribosomal RNA is filed under the name uncultured bacterium. RNAcentral's name for it is "bacterial SSU rRNA". It matches the Rfam family "Bacterial small subunit ribosomal RNA", at positions 354 to 796 of the family's 1533-position model. The record is from RNAcentral.
GUGGGGAAUUUUGGACAAUGGGCGCAAGCCUGAUCCAGCAAUGCCGCGUGCAGGAAGAAGGCCUUCGGGUUGUAAACUGCUUUUGUACGGAACGAAACGGUCCUGGCUAAUAUCCGGGGCUAAUGACGGUACCGUAAGAAUAAGCACCGGCUAACUACGUGCCAGCAGCCGCGGUAAUACGUAGGGUGCAAGCGUUAAUCGGAAUUACUGGGCGUAAAGCGUGCGCAGGCGGUGCUGUAAGACAGGCGUGAAAUCCCCGGGCUUAACCUGGGAAUUGCGCUUGUGACUGCAGUGCUGGAGUGCGGCAGAGGGGGAUGGAAUUCCGCGUGUAGCAGUGAAAUGCGUAGAUAUGCGGAGGAACACCGAUGGCGAAGGCAAUCCCCUGGGCCUGCACUGACGCUCAUGCACGAAAGCGUGGGGAGCAAACAGGAUUAGAUACCCGUGUAGUCC